Molecule: small nucleolar RNA, 155 nt
Organism: Cavia porcellus (domestic guinea pig)
Lineage: Eukaryota; Metazoa; Chordata; Mammalia; Rodentia; Caviidae
Product: small nucleolar RNA SNORA81
Source: Ensembl
CUCUUCAUUUACUCAUCAAAUAGGGCAAUUUCUUUUGUAAUAAUGCUAGCAGAGUACACACAAGAAGAAAAGUAACUGCACUAGACCCUAAAGACUGGGGUGGACCUCUUUCUUAAUGUCCAGUGUCCUUUGUCUUAAGGUUUGGUGCAAUAUGU